RNAcentral lists this transfer RNA (66 nucleotides) under Albula goreensis. RNAcentral's name for it is "tRNA-OTHER". Lineage: Eukaryota; Metazoa; Chordata; Actinopteri; Albuliformes; Albulidae. The record is from RNAcentral.
GCCUAUAGCCUAGUGGUUAAGGUACAUGACUGGGACCCCUGAGGUUAGUGGUUCAAGUCAACAGCA